This 235-nucleotide long non-coding RNA is filed under the name Elaeis guineensis (African oil palm). RNAcentral describes it as "long non-coding RNA (EGUI_LNC064475)". The record is from RNAcentral. Lineage: Eukaryota; Viridiplantae; Streptophyta; Magnoliopsida; Arecales; Arecaceae.
GGGUAUAAAGUAUCCCCCGACCGAAGUUUAUAAAAGACCGAUCCCUCCAGGGCUCUUUCGGCUCCCGAUCUUAUGUGUGGCGUCUAUCCGAACCCCCUCAACUAUCCGGACUUCUUCGACAAUGAACUUCUGCAUUCAUCCAUUGGGCCACCCCAAAAGUCCUCAGGGCCCCACUAUUAGCCGACCUUCUACAGCAACCGACUACCCUCGAACUUCUUUCGAACUUCAUCAGCAU